RNAcentral lists this ribosomal RNA (464 nucleotides) under uncultured bacterium. RNAcentral's name for it is "partial 16S ribosomal RNA". It matches the Rfam family "Bacterial small subunit ribosomal RNA", at positions 28 to 507 of the family's 1533-position model. The record is from RNAcentral.
AUUGAACGCUGGCGGCAUGCUUUACACAUGCAAGUCGAACGGCAGCGCGGGCUUCGUCCUGGCUGCGAGUGGCGAACGGGUGAGUAAUGCAUCGGAACGUGCCCAGUAGUGGGGGAUAGCCCGGCGAAAGCCGGAUUAAUACCGCAUACGACCUGAGGGUGAAAGCGGGGGACCGAAAGGCGUCGCGCGAUUUGAGGGACCGAUGUCGGAUUAGCUAGUUGGUGGGGUAAAGGCUUACCAAGGCGAGGAUGGGUAGCUGGUCUGAGAGGGCGACCAGCCACAUGGGGACUGAGAUACGGCCCAGACUGCGACGGGAGGGAGCAGUGGGGGAUGUUGCACAAUGGGCGGAAGCCUGAUGCAGCAACGCCGCGUGCGGGAUGACGGGCGGCGGGUUGUAAACCGCUUUCGCCUGUGACGAAGCGAGGGGGACGGAGAUGGGUAAAGAAACACGCGCUAGUUAAGUG